RNAcentral lists this ribosomal RNA (1430 nucleotides) under Streptomyces sp. KSL368F40. RNAcentral describes it as "bacterial SSU rRNA". It matches the Rfam family "Bacterial small subunit ribosomal RNA". Lineage: Bacteria; Bacillati; Actinomycetota; Actinomycetes; Kitasatosporales; Streptomycetaceae. The record is from RNAcentral.
UCGAACGAUGAACCACUUCGGUGGGGAUUAGUGGCGAACGGGUGAGUAACACGUGGGCAAUCUGCCCUGACACUCUGGGACAAGCCCUGGAAACGGGGUCUAAUACCGGAUACUGACCCUCGUCAGGCAUCUGCGAGGUUCGAAAGCUCCGGCGGUGCAGGAUGAGCCCGCGGCCUAUCAGCUUGUUGGUGAGGUAAUGGCUCACCAAGGCGACGACGGGUAGCCGGCCUGAGAGGGCGACCGGCCACACUGGGACUGAGACACGGCCCAGACUCCUACGGGAGGCAGCAGUGGGGAAUAUUGCACAAUGGGCGAAAGCCUGAUGCAGCGACGCCGCGUGAGGGAUGACGGCCUUCGGGUUGUAAACCUCUUUCAGCAGGGAAGAAGCGAAAGUGACGGUACCUGCAGAAGAAGCGCCGGCUAACUACGUGCCAGCAGCCGCGGUAAUACGUAGGGCGCAAGCGUUGUCCGGAAUUAUUGGGCGUAAAGAGCUCCUACGCGGCUUGUCGCGUCGGUUGUGAAAGCCCGGGGCUUAUCCCCGGGUCUGCAGUCGAUACGGGCACGCUAGACUUCGGUACGGGAGAUCGGAAUUCCUGGUUGUACCCGGCGAAAUGGCCAGAUUUUAGAGGGAAGAACCGGGGGGGAAAGGGGGGUUUUUUGGGCCGGAUACUAACCUUGAGGAGCGAAAGCUUGGGGGGCCAAACAGGAUUAAAAACCCCUGGUAGUCCACCCCCUAAACGUUGGUAUUAACUUGGGCAACAAGGGAAGGUGGGGGGGGGGGGAGGUAACGCAUAAAUUGCCCCCCCUGGGGAUACGCCCAAGGUUAAAAUUCAAAGGAAUUGACGGGGGCCCGCACAAACGGCGGAGCAUGUGGCUUAAUUCGACGCAACGCGAAGAACCUUACCAAGGCUUGACAUACACCGGAAAGCAUCAGAGAUGGUGCCCCCCUUGUGGUCGGUGUACAGGUGGUGCAUGGCUGUCGUCAGCUCGUGUCGUGAGAUGUUGGGUUAAGUCCCGCAACGAGCGCAACCCUUGUCCCGUGUUGCCAGCAGGCCCUUGUGGUGCUGGGGACUCACGGGAGACCGCCGGGGUCAACUCGGAGGAAGGUGGGGACGACGUCAAGUCAUCAUGCCCCUUAUGUCUUGGGCUGCACACGUGCUACAAUGGCCGGUACAAUGAGCUGCGAUACCGCCAAGGUGGAGCGAAUCUCAAAAAGCCGGUCUCAGUUCGGAUUGGGGUCUGCAACUCGACCCCAUGAAGUCGGAGUCGCUAGUAAUCGCAGAUCAGCAUUGCUGCGGUGAAUACGUUCCCGGGCCUUGUACACACCGCCCGUCACGUCACGAAAGUCGGUAACACCCGAAGACCGGUGGCCCAACCCCUUGUGGGAGGGAGCUGUCGAAGGUGGGAUCUGGCGAUUGGGACGAAGUCGU